UAAACUUUAGCUCUAGGAUCCAAACACCCCUAUGUUUUUGGAACAACACGUAAUUGCUUACGCAGAAUGGUAUAGUACAUGAUUUUUGUGGUGUUGUAUACGCCACACCCAAAGUGACAUUCUCACAUUCCAACGCAAAGGACGAUCCGUGCAUAAGAAAGCAUGAACAUAUUACAUCGUACAUGGUGCAUAAGAAAGCAUGAACAUAGUACAUGUUCUUACAGUGAAUGGUGCCCUCCGAG
RNAcentral lists this long non-coding RNA (242 nucleotides) under Setaria italica (foxtail millet). Its description in RNAcentral is "long non-coding RNA (SITA_LNC004502)". The record is from RNAcentral. Lineage: Eukaryota; Viridiplantae; Streptophyta; Magnoliopsida; Poales; Poaceae.